RNAcentral lists this ribosomal RNA (567 nucleotides) under uncultured eukaryote. RNAcentral's name for it is "eukaryotic LSU rRNA". It matches the Rfam family "Eukaryotic large subunit ribosomal RNA", at positions 1169 to 1717 of the family's 3401-position model. The record is from RNAcentral.
CGGAAGCGGGGAGAAAGGGCCCGAGAUUGCGUCGACGCGGAUCCCGAAAAGGGCGUCGAUCCGUCGCGACAGCGGGACGGUGGUCAUGGAAGUCGAAAUCCGCUAAGAAGCGUGUAAAAACGUACCCGCCCAACGGAUCGGCCCCGAAAAUUGAUGGCGCUCGAACGCAACCCUCGAACCCCGCCGACGGAGGCUAGGGGAGGCCCCGUCGAGUAGGCGGACGCGCGGGUCGCUUCGACGCUCUCGCGCGAGCGGGGGCGGAGCGGCCCGUGGUGCAGAUCUUGGUGGUAGUAGCGAUCACCCAGGCGAGAACCCUGAGGGCCGAAGUGGAGAAGGGUUUCUCGAGAACGGCACUCGCUCGAGAGUUAGUCGAUCCUAAGCUGCCGGCGGCAGCCACGAAACGGUCGAUCGGGCGCGAGCCCGGCAGCCACGACCGGGCAGCGAAGGGAAUUGGGAACCUCCUUCCCAACCCGGAACCGGAACGAGGCGGCGACGCGAACGAACGGACCGCGGAGACGGCGGCCGCGGCCCCGGAGACGAGUCUCUUUCUGUGCGACUGGACGUCGG